This 495-nucleotide ribosomal RNA is filed under the name uncultured bacterium. RNAcentral's name for it is "partial 16S ribosomal RNA". It matches the Rfam family "Bacterial small subunit ribosomal RNA", at positions 28 to 507 of the family's 1533-position model. The record is from RNAcentral.
GACGAACGCUGGCGGCGUGCCUAAUACAUGCAAGUAGAACGCUGAAGGAGGAGCUUGCUUCUCCGGAUGAGUUGCGAACGGGUGAGUAACGCGUAGGUAACCUGCCUGGUAGCGGGGGAUAACUAUAGGAAACGAUAGCUAAUACCGCAUAAGAGUAGAUGUCGCAUGACAUUUGCUUAAAAGGUGCAACUGCACCACUACCAGAUGGCCCUGCGUUGUAUUAGCUAGUUGGGGAGGUAACGGCUCACCAAGGCAACGAUACAUAGCCGACCUGAGAGGGUGAUCUGCCACGCUGGGACUGGGACAUGGCCCAGAAUACUACGGGAGGCAGCCGUAGGGAAUCUUCGGCAAUGGACGGAAGUCUGACCGAUCAACGCCGCGUGAGUGAAGAAUGUUUUCGGAUCGUAAAGCUCUGUUAUAAGAGAAGAACGAGUGUGAGAGUGGAAAGUGCACACUGUGACGGUAUCUUACCAGAAAGCGACGGCUAACUCCGUG